RNAcentral lists this ribosomal RNA (418 nucleotides) under uncultured bacterium. RNAcentral's name for it is "bacterial LSU rRNA". It matches the Rfam family "Bacterial large subunit ribosomal RNA", at positions 1314 to 1806 of the family's 2925-position model. The record is from RNAcentral.
CGAUAAAAUAAUGAAAACAUAUAAAUCAUUAUCACCGGAAAUCCUAAGGUUUCUAUGAUUUUAGUUAAACUUCAUUGAGUUAUUCGGUUUCUAAGUGUAAAAAUGAAAAUUUUUUAUGAAUGAAAAAAGAUUAAUAAUUCUUUAAUAAAUUUUAGUGACAAUAAUUUUAUUAAUAAUUUAAUUUUAAGGAUAUUUAAUUAUUUAAUAAACUUAUUCAAGAAAUAACUAAUUAAUAUUAACCGUACUUAAACCGACACAGGUGGAUGAAUAGAGCAUAUUAAGGUGAUUGGAAGAACAAUUUUGAAGGAACUCGGCAAAAUAAUUCCGUAACUUCGGGAGAAGGAAUACUCCUUAAUAAUUAUAAAGAUUUUAUUUUAUUAAAAGUGAAUUAUUAUUGAAUGAUUGGUGUAACAGAAAA